RNAcentral lists this transfer RNA (63 nucleotides) under Caridina indistincta A. Its description in RNAcentral is "tRNA-His". It matches the Rfam family "tRNA". From Rfam's summary of the family: Transfer RNA (tRNA) molecules are approximately 80 nucleotides in length. Their secondary structure includes four short double-helical elements and three loops (D, anti-codon, and T loops). Further hydrogen bonds mediate the characteristic L-shaped molecular structure. tRNAs have two regions of fundamental functional importance: the anti-codon, which is responsible for specific mRNA codon recognition, and the 3' end, to which the tRNAs corresponding amino acid is attached (by aminoacyl-tRNA synthetases). tRNAs cope with the degeneracy of the genetic code in two manners: having more than one tRNA (with a specific anti-codon) for a particular amino acid; and 'wobble' base-pairing, i.e. permitting non-standard base-pairing at the 3rd anti-codon position. The record is from RNAcentral. Lineage: Eukaryota; Metazoa; Arthropoda; Malacostraca; Decapoda; Atyidae.
GUUCAAAUAGUUUAAUAAAAAUGCUGGUUUGUGAAGCCAGAGAUGUUGGGGCAACUUUGGGCA